This 447-nucleotide ribosomal RNA is filed under the name uncultured bacterium. RNAcentral's name for it is "bacterial SSU rRNA". It matches the Rfam family "Bacterial small subunit ribosomal RNA", at positions 329 to 793 of the family's 1533-position model. The record is from RNAcentral.
CACCAGACUCCUACGGGAGGCAGCAGUGGGGAAUAUUGCACAAUGGGGGAAACCCUGAUGCAGCGACGCCGCGUGAGCGAUGAAGUAUUUCGGUAUGUAAAGCUCUAUCAGCAGGGAAGAAGAUGACGGUACCUGACUAAGAAGCCCCGGCUAACUACGUGCCAGCAGCCGCGGUAAUACGUAGGGGGCAAGCGUUAUCCGGAUUUACUGGGUGUAAAGGGAGCGUAGACGGCGAUGCAAGCCAGAUGUGAAAGCCCGGGGCUCAACCCCGGGACUGCAUUUGGAACUGUGUGGCUGGAGUGUCGGAGAGGCAGGCGGAAUUCCUAGUGUAGCGGUGAAAUGCGUAGAUAUUAGGAGGAACACCAGUGGCGAAGGCGGCCUGCUGGACGAUGACUGACGUUGAGGCUCGAAAGCGUGGGGAGCAAACAGGAUUAGAUACCCCCGUAC